AUUGAACGCUGGCGGCAUGCCUUACACAUGCAAGUCGAACGGCAGCAUGACGUGUAGCAAUACACGUUGAUGGCGAGUGGCGAACGGGUGAGUAAUAUAUCGGAACGUGCCCUGUAGCGGGGGAUAACCUAUCGAAAGAUGGACUAAUACCGCAUACGCUCUACGGAGGAAAGCGGGGGUCGCAAGACCUCGCACUAUAGGAGCGGCCGAUAUCGGAUUAGCUUGUUGGCGGGGUAAAAGCCCACCAAGG
This 250-nucleotide ribosomal RNA is filed under the name uncultured bacterium. RNAcentral's name for it is "partial 16S ribosomal RNA". It matches the Rfam family "Bacterial small subunit ribosomal RNA", at positions 30 to 273 of the family's 1533-position model. The record is from RNAcentral.